AUUGAACGCUGGCGGCAGGCCUAACACAUGCAAGUCGAGCGGAUGAAGGGAGCUUGCUCCUGGAUUCCGCGGCGGACGGGUGAGUAAUGCCUAGGAAUCUGCCUGGUCGUGGGGGAUAACGUCCGGAAACGGGCGCUAAUACCGCAUACGUCUUGCGGGAGAAAGUGGGGGAUCUUCGGACCUCACGCUAUCAGCUGAGCCUAGGUCGGAUUAGCUAGUUGGUGGGGUAAAGGCAUACCAAGGCGACGAUCCGUAACUGGUCUGAGAGGAUGAUCAGUCACACUGGAACUGAGACACGGUCCAGACUCCUACGGGAGGCAGCAGUGGGGAAUAUUGGGCAAUGGGCGAAAGCCUGAUCCAGCCGUGCCGCGUGUGUGAAGAAGGUCUUCGGAUUGUAAAGCACUUUAAGUUGGGAGGAAGGGCAGUAAGUUAAUACCUUGCUGUUUUGACGUUACCAACAGAAGAAGCACCGGCUAACUUCGUG
RNAcentral lists this ribosomal RNA (484 nucleotides) under uncultured bacterium. RNAcentral describes it as "partial 16S ribosomal RNA". It matches the Rfam family "Bacterial small subunit ribosomal RNA", at positions 30 to 507 of the family's 1533-position model. The record is from RNAcentral.